UGUGGCUGUGACGACUUGGAAAUAUUCAAGCUCAACAGACCAAAUCACAUGUCUAUCUCUAUAGAAGAGAUUGAUCUGUAUGCCGACUAUCCAUUUGAACCGAGCCAUA
Molecule: non-coding RNA, 109 nt
Organism: Zea mays
Lineage: Eukaryota; Viridiplantae; Streptophyta; Magnoliopsida; Poales; Poaceae
Source: Rfam